This 115-nucleotide microRNA precursor is filed under the name Ovis aries (sheep). RNAcentral describes it as "miRNA (ENSOARG00000023496.1)". Lineage: Eukaryota; Metazoa; Chordata; Mammalia; Artiodactyla; Bovidae. The record is from RNAcentral.
CACUUGCGUGUGUGUGCAUGUGUGUGUGCAGGUGCAUGUGUGUGCACACGUGUGUGGGUGUGUGCAUGUGUGUGUACACGUGUGUGUGCGUGUGUACAUGUGUGUAUGUGAGUAU